Molecule: ribosomal RNA, 252 nt
Filed under: uncultured Bacteroidales bacterium
Lineage: Bacteria; Pseudomonadati; Bacteroidota; Bacteroidia; Bacteroidales
Description: partial 16S ribosomal RNA
Rfam family: Bacterial small subunit ribosomal RNA
Source: RNAcentral
UACGGAGGAUGCGAGCGUUAUCCGGAAUUAUUGGGCGUAAAGGGUGCGCAGGCGGCAAGAAAAGCUUAAGGUCAAAGCCCGGGGCUCAACCCCGGCCCGCCGUUGAAACUGGCAGUCUCGAGUUGGAGAGAAGUAUGCGGAAUGCGCGGUGUAGCGGUGAAAUGCAUAGAUAUCGCGCAGAACUCCGAUUGCGAAGGCAGCAUGCCGGCUCCACACUGACGCUGAGGCACGAAAGCGUGGGUAUCGAACAGG